Molecule: long non-coding RNA, 2336 nt
Organism: Ananas comosus (pineapple)
Lineage: Eukaryota; Viridiplantae; Streptophyta; Magnoliopsida; Poales; Bromeliaceae
Exons: 4
Source: RefSeq, a predicted model, not a curated record
UUUUCUCUCUAUAUCUGAACUGAUAAGUCAUGGAUUAAAAAAAAAGAUUUCCAUUUGAUAGCAGCACCAUGAAGAGGUUAAUUCAGGAUGUGACAGAUGUUUUUUGUAUAUCAUGUCAUUUGAGAAAAUGUUGGUACAGUCUUGCACAAUCUCAGUGUUAGCACGUGAAUUCAACUCAGCUUAAUAGUAGUAUGGGCCCCUGUAGAAGCAUCUUAUGCACAAGACCGCAACAUCUGGAUUAGUUGAGAAAGUGGCUCGCAUUAUCACAAACCAAUUCAGUGGUCGGGAACACUUGCAAUGCCACAAACGGAAGCAGUUGGCUCCACGAAUAUUCUGGAAUUUUCUCUACAUACGUUCUUGAGGGCUUCAUUCACGUGAGGUUGGCAUCGCAGCAUCGAUUCCCAUGUGUAGUAAUUGGGUUUGAAUAAAAUACAGGAAGUUAAGCGUCAAGCAGCUUUUCUCUCUUUCGUGUCCACACUGCCCAUGAUGGUAGAUUUAUGUCAGCCGGUGUAAAGUUUAAUAAAUUCAUCUGAAAUAUCUUGGUUAAGUCCCGUUGCGGCAUUUGUGGAUUGAAGUUGCCAUUUUUUAUUCCCACAGGUUGCUCCUCAAAGCUCAAAUCCUCGCGUAACUCUAAUGGAGUGGAGUCCAACACAUGAGCUGGAUCAAAACAUAGAUGGUUUUCAAUUUCUGGCCAAGAAAUCACUGCAUCUAUCUUCCAACUGGGACCACUUUCUUUGGGAUUAAGGGCCAGAUAUAUCGAUUAUUAUAUCAGUGAUUACGGAAGUUUCCUCUCUUGUUCGUUGUUCCGUGCCGUUUUCAAUGGUUCUGAUUCUAUUCACUGUAUGGUUAGUUCACCCCCCGGUUUAGACAUUUCAUAUCCUUUCAUCCCCCUCCCAUCUAGAUCAACCGGUAUCAAACAAUACAAAUUGGACCAUUCUGGUAGGCUACAACUUUUUAUGGCCAUGUGAUAGUGGGUAUGAAUGCUCUCCUGAAAGAUGUUCAAAAUAAAUUUGAUUACCUCCUGCCAAAGAUUGUUUAAUUCAUGUCGCAAGCAGUUCCUGCUCUCUAUAACGACAUGAUACCCAGCUUCAAAAAGAGAAAGUAUUGUGGAAGGGCUCAUGCAAUGUCCGUCUUUCUCAUCAGGGUUCUUGGAAGGAGCCAUUGAAAUUAUCCAUCUAUUUCAAAGAAUAAAAAAGUCACAUGGCUCUUCGAAGCCAGGAUCGUUUGUUUACGCCUAAUGUGGACUGAAUGGCAAAGUUGUGCACUUUGCCAUUUCCAGUAACCCUAUUGAAGGCCUCGGUCGACGUCAACUGAGGUCCCCCUCUAUCUUCAAAUGGGCGAUCAAAGUCUUUAUUGCAGGCUUCACCCCACCAUGCGAAUCCUGACUUCUAAGAGUGGUCCUCCAUCUCAGAAUAGAUCGAAAACAUCUCUCCUCUUGUCAUUUAUAUUGUCAUUACUCCAACCUUGUAGAUUCCUUCGCAUCUUCUAUCAACCUAUCAACUUCUAUAGCAAUUGGCAAGGGCAGUACCAUGUGGGUAGCCAUCGCCCAUCGUAAUGUACUACCGGAUAAGGCCCCCUUUGAAAACUUAAAUGAUGCGAAGCUUCACCUCUGGAGUCUCGGUCUGAUUAGGGGCGUACUAACAAAAUAAAGUUGAAGGCUCAGUCUCCAUAAUUCAUCUUAGUAAAUUGUGGCAUAAAGUGGAACUUAUUCGUGAUCACGAAACAAUUGAAAUGAUGAGUGACCGUGGUUGAGUCUUCAAUCUACAUAUUGACGGCAUGUCCGAAUUGGAUAAGAUUGCUUUGGCCUUCCACUUGUGGAUCGAUGUGUGCUCUGAAGCUCUGGAGCCAAGGUGUUGAUGUGGGGUGUGCUGAAUGUGCCAAGGAGCAUGUGAUGUUGCUAGGGUGCAAACAAAUGAAAAGAUGUGAGCCAUUUCAACUGGUGAGAUUGGGUAUGCAGGGGCCUCAUUUUGCUUUUGUGUGGCCAACAUAGCAAUAGUACUUACCUGCACCCAAAACAACCUGCACCCAAAACAAAUUCUAUUAUGACUUGAAUUGGAGAAACGUAGCAUUCGCCAAUUCAAACUUCAAUUAGAAUAACAAUAAUACCAAUGAUCUAAUCAAAGAAAAACGUCGGAAACAAACAAAGUAUUGCAAACUUCUUCCUAAUUAUUGAUGCGCCAUUAUUCCAUGCACGGCUUUUCUGAACUGAUAUAACAAGAGGUAUUGUCUCGGUCAUGUGAUAUUUCCUUUACAAUACGAGGGAAGAGAAAAUUAUAUGUAAAAGAAUAAUGGUGAAAUUAUUCUUAAAUGAAAUAGAUGGACUAAACUUGUGGGCA